This 364-nucleotide ribosomal RNA is filed under the name uncultured bacterium. RNAcentral describes it as "partial 16S ribosomal RNA". It matches the Rfam family "Bacterial small subunit ribosomal RNA", at positions 338 to 699 of the family's 1533-position model. The record is from RNAcentral.
CCUACGGGGGGCUGCAGUGAGGAAUAUUGGUCAAUGGCCGGAAGGCUGAACCAGCCAUGCCGCGUGAAGGUCAGUGCCCUUUGGGUGUUAAACUUCUUUUGUGCGGGAGCAAUAAUGGUCACGUGUGGCCAGACGAGAGUACCGUACGAAUAAGCAUCGGCUAACUCCGUGUCAGCAGCCGCGGUAAUCCGGGGGAUGCAAGCGUUAUCCGGAUUUAUUGGGUUGAAAGGGUGCGUAGGCUGUGAGGUAAGUCAGUGGUGAAAUGCCCCCGGUCAACGGGGUGAAGUGCCAUUGAUACUGCCAUGCUGGAAUGCGGGUGCGGUGGGAGGAAUGUGUGGUGUAGCGGUGAAAUGCAUAGAGAUCA